Molecule: non-coding RNA, 26 nt
Filed under: Mus musculus (house mouse)
Lineage: Eukaryota; Metazoa; Chordata; Mammalia; Rodentia; Muridae
Source: RNAcentral
UAACCAAACUCUGGUCAGCAGGAAGA